UGUAGUUCGAGAACUCCGGCCAAGCACGUGCCAGCAGCCGCGGUAAGACGUGCGGAGUCAGUAUAAAGCGUCUUGACUGGGCCGGCAGAGCGUCUGAGCGUAGUGGUGAAUCCGGAAUUUUGGGGUAAUAGUCGGAGUAUCGUUUAAAUGAGAAGAGCCCGGCUAGAAAGCCGAUGGCGAAGGCACCCCCUAAGAGGUCACUGAAGCUCCAACGCGAAAGCUUGGGUAGCGAAGCGGAUUAGAGACCCGCGUAGUCCAAGCCGUCAACAAAUUGUACUUAAAAACUACAACGCCUGGUGAUACGGUGGCAACACUAUAAAUCAAAGCAAUUGGCAGUGAUAGAGAUGCGCUGUGGAACAUGCUGUUUAAUUCGAAGCAACGCGUAAGAUCUUACCACAUUUUUAAUA
This 407-nucleotide ribosomal RNA is filed under the name Tetrabaena socialis. RNAcentral describes it as "small subunit ribosomal RNA". It matches the Rfam family "Bacterial small subunit ribosomal RNA", at positions 478 to 987 of the family's 1533-position model. Lineage: Eukaryota; Viridiplantae; Chlorophyta; Chlorophyceae; Chlamydomonadales; Tetrabaenaceae. The record is from RNAcentral.